Long non-coding RNA from Cygnus olor (mute swan), 3773 nucleotides. RefSeq lists it as uncharacterized. The record is from RefSeq and is a predicted model, not a curated record. The transcript is spliced from 8 exons. Lineage: Eukaryota; Metazoa; Chordata; Aves; Anseriformes; Anatidae.
ACCAAAUGGUCUUGGAGGGCUUUUCCAACCUUUAUGAUUCUAGGAUUCUGUGAUUCUAUGAUUCUGUGAUCUUGUUGCACUGCUGCCAGGAGGUCACAAGUUACUUCUGAGCUUCUGUGAAAGCCGCAGCCGCCAGGACUUGGUUUAAGCAGUUACGUGAAGGAAGUCAUUCGCUCUUUCCUACCUGUGCCUGGCCCAAACUCACAAAAGAGGAUGAAGAGGUUACCUGAAACCUCUGUCCCAUUCCUGCCAGAAACACAGGACUGGGGCGAUGCCAUUGAAUCUCCUUUGGUGUGAUAACCGAGAGCAGAAUGAGUCCUGGGAGACACCACUUGGUUAAUUAAAUAAACCGGCUACCUCUGAGCCAGGAGUGAAAACAAGAAAGAAAGGAGGAGAGUGGGUUUUUUCCCUGCCGCACCUCUGCUCUCCGGUGCUUUGGUCCUUCAGCUGCCCAGCGGAGCUGAUCUCCUCCUGGCAGCUCGGGAUAAACACGUUUUUUCUGCCUUAAAGAAGCCAUGGCCUCACUCUUACCAUACAGUAGCUGCUAUGGGAUGGCUCCAUCCCUAGUUCCUGUAGGCUCCCUAAAAAUCAGCAGAGAAAAAGGGACGCUUCCGCAAGGCAUCAAAGAAACAGUGCUGAAAGAGGAGCUCUCAGCGCCCAGAAGAUGGUGUAGGAAGAUGCUGAUUCUUCGCAGGUGGCCGGCUGCAGUAUCGCCUGCUCCCAGUGCUGCAGCAGAAACUGCACUUUGGUGGUGACUGAGCGAGCACAAAGCGAGCAGCUGAAGCCACGGCUGCCUGCACGGAUAUGGGUCCCAAAGGACUUCGGUGGCUCAAGGAGCAGAUAGGUGCUCACACCAAAAUAACCUCCCUCCACUGCCAGUGUUUCCUUCGAAGGAUACCUGGGCUGUGGGAGCAGCUUUUGCCAUUCGCAGAACCUGGGCUCAAGCCUUUGCUCCAAAGUAAAGAUAUGUUUGGUGGGCAGUUUUGUUCUUUGUAAGGGAGACUGGGAGGUCAGCGCUGAUAACCUUAUCCAGAAAGCGCUGAGGUGGCAUUGAACACGGAGAUUGGUACUGGCUUCCCUCCACGUCAAACGCAGGAGAAAACGCUACUGUUCUGUAAAUGUUCCCCAACUUUCCCAUAAUUGAGCUUAUGAAUAGGGCGGCUUGGAAGAGACUCUUUAUUAUUCCCUCAUCCAUUUGUUCAGAGAUAUGGACAUAUUAGUGCCGGAAACAUCUAAGGCCUUAUCUAGCCUGACCUUUUGAAGAGCAGACUAUAAAAUUUUGUCCAUUAACCUCACCACUGAGCCCACUAACUCAUUGCUGGCUAAAACGUAUCUGCCACUCUUGGUCUGAGGAGCACACACAGUGGAUAAUCCACCAUUUCCCUUAAUCGUUUCUUUUAAUGGCCAGACUGUCUCUCCGUUUAAAGCAGUAAUGAUCCCUGCUGCUCCUGCAAUGUCGCUGAUUCACGGCUUGCUGGAGUUUGUGGUGUGCAUGCGGGAAGGCCGGGAUGAAGCGGGGAGGUUGCUGAAGGUUAGGAGGGAGGUGACACGGCGGCUUUGGGUAGAGGGGCACGGUUUAUGGGGAGAGCAAGAUCUAAGGUUCAGGUCUCAGGAGGCUGUGUUUUGAUGGUAGCCAUAAGUGCUGGGGUUUAGGAGGGAUUUGCUUUGGGUGUUGGCAGAGCUGGAUGGGAUCUCAGAGGAAUUGCUGGGGGCCCACAGAGAACGUCUGCUUGCUGCUUCUGCUAUGCAUGGCUCCGGGGCUGAAUCAGCAGCUCCUUGCAGGGUUGCCUUGGUCAAACCAGAUGAAAAACUCCAGUGUUCCCCCAUGCCCUGUCUGUCUGCAGCACUUUUCCAUCUUUGUUAUCACAAGCCCUAAAUUCACUUUCAAAAUCAUUCAGCUCCUUGUUUGUCUGCUUGCUUAGGUUCCAUAAUUACAGCUGCUGCUGAGAGAGCAAAGCCUGCUCUGGGAGACCACCGGCACAGCCUGUGGGGAGCAUCGAGCCCCCUCUGUGUCGGGAUGUGCUUGCCGUGGGGCGGCCGUGUGAGUCGAGGGGUAGCUCUGCCUUUCUCCGGACUGAACAAAUAGAGCAAGGCACAGCCUGCUCCCCGCUUCUGUAGCGCUGCCUUCACAAGCGAGCAGCAGCCUGCUGGGUCCAGCAAGGUGAGCAAUAUUUUACUGGGGAAAAACUGGGGGCGAGUGUUGUGACAGGCAGCCUGGCAGCUGGAGUUUGCUUCCUGAGCGACUUUGGAUUGACCAUCUCUGUUUGCAGAAGGCAUUUUUUCGGGGCUUGUCAUUUUUAAGGGCAUUGAUUUUAACAUAUUUUCUUUGGACGGAGGCUCAACAGUGGAGGAAUCGUCUCCAGGAAGGAACAGCAUCGGCUGGAAUGCCUUGACUGGAAACUCUGCUUGUCAGCAAGUUGUCGCCUUCCCUAUGGACAGGUGCCAUUUUCAGUGAAACCAUCUCAAAGAGCACGUGCGACUCACGGAAGUUACAUAGCACCAGGGCAGAGAACAGACUUGCGGGCUGAUGAAUCCGUAGCAUCAGGAAAUGUUUGCAACUGCUCGUGAAAGCCUCUGAGGAGCUCUGGAGCCUGUGCCUCCCUUCCUCCUGACACGUGCAGUUUGUGCAGAUGGCAAAAUUCCCGGUGUCAGUCACGAGUAUGGUGGAAGAUAUCCUAUCAGAAUCAUCUCUACAUCAUCUGGUUGGCCAAGACACCUGCAGGGCAUGGGUUUCACCAUGGGUCUUCAGUGCCUGGUGCUCCCCACAGCGCAGAUGUCCCAGCUCAUCUGCCACUGACUGCCCUCCUGUGCCACUUCUGCUUGGAAGGCUGGGGAGGUUUGUCUCCUUCUCAUCAGUUUCUGAAGAAAGUUUUCUUCCCAGGGCUGGUUCAGCUGUUCUGGAUUCUGCUGAGUCAUUCAUGGUGUGUCCCCUGACCUAGCGGCCAGUCCUGGACAGGAGCUCAGCCCAGCAGGACGAGCAGAGGAAGCGUGCUGCAGCUGGGACACCCCGCAGAUGCCAAACCCCUCCGAGCAAUGAGAACCGUAUGUGCGCGUCUGCGUUCCUCGCCUAUGUUGAAUGUCACAUUGGAUUAAGGCACAUCAAGCCAUAACGGGUGCAGAGUUCGAUGCCUUUAAUUAGGCCAGUCAAAGGCAGGAAUUCCCUUCUGCCAGGCGAGUCUGCUCCCAUGACAAGAAGAUUAGCGGCCUCAGUUUGUGAUCGUCAAGCUCGGAGGUUUCCAUCCCCCUUUAAGUCAUUUACAAUUUUCGCUUCCCCACACUGGUAGUUUGGAGGGGCUGUUUUCAUUCCAGGAGGGCAGGGGUCAAAGCAUUUUGGUGAAUGUCCCUGGCAUGUGUUUGGGUAAAUUUGCUCCGUCCUGCACUGCAUCUGGGCUAGACUUCUGUGUCUGUCUGGACCUAGCAGUAAGACCAUCAGAGCACCAGGGCCUUGCUGGCGCUGACAGUGGAUGUCUGGUGGACAUCUACUGGCCCAUGUUUUUGGGAGGUGCGCUAAGGGACACACCGAAGAAUGGAAAUCCUCUAAGGAAUGGAAAUCCUCCUGUCUGGUGGCACAUGCCAACGACAAGAUGCUUUGGAGGAGGAGGAGGUGUCCCCGUCCUUCAGCUGUAUGCUGGAGGGUUGCUUGCUAGUAAAGCAGUUUGUACGUGCUUCUGUUUGAGCAGUCCCACUUUGCCAUUUGUCCCUUCUCCCAAUCAAUCAUGUUCAACCACCUCUCUGUCCACAGAGUUGGGAACACCCAAGGGCGGUGCUGUCGG